Molecule: long non-coding RNA, 1492 nt
Organism: Gallus gallus (chicken)
Lineage: Eukaryota; Metazoa; Chordata; Aves; Galliformes; Phasianidae
Source: Ensembl
AUCGAACAGCUAUGUGAACAUGGGCAUUUCAUGCAAGCAAAAGUCUGAAUGCCUUUAUGCAUUGGCAUUAUGUUGGAAAUCAGAAUCAAAUUACCAGUAGCCUGAAAAAUUGCUAUUGUGGAACAGGUUCAUUAUCCUCUAGGAUGUCUGCAAAGAAUUUGAUUGUAGAUCUCCAGGACUUGAUGGUUACAGAUCUGAAAUUACAGCUACUAUACCUGAGCGGAUAUUGAAUAGUGUCUGAUGGCAAAGAGUUCUUUCUGUCGCAGUCAACAGAGAAUGAAGAGAUGGCCUUGGAAGUGAUUCCUUUGCUCCAUGGUUGCAGUGUUUUACCCCCUUCCCUUCAUGGUGUGCUUGUGCAGGCACUUCAGAAUAUAUUGAUUUCCCUAAAGAAGAAUGUGAAGCAAAUCUGCUUUUGUGUCUUUCACAGUACUGAAAGUACAUAACCAGGUACAUCUUUAUUUCCUAUGUUGAGUUGGCAGCCAGCCUGGGUGAAGGGAUGUUUCUGGGGCAGUCCAUGAAGACGUGCAGGUGCUGGCCGGAGAGAAACCUGCAUGGUGAGCAGCACAGCCUCCACACCAGCAGAUAGUGCUGCCAUUUGUGUGCUAAACUCUGCUCCAAUCGUUACAUUGGAGUUUUAUCUGAUGACCAUUUUAUUUAAUGCUUCAGAGGAAAAGCCAGGAAAAGGCCCUUGUGAAAUGAAAUUCCUGUAAUGUUACUGCUGGCCAUGGAAAUCCGGUAAGCAAACAGGGACCAUAGGUGGUAGGGUGGCCUGGCUGGCUGGGCUGGCAAAGGGCAUCUCCUGGGCACGGAUACCUUGCAGAUGGGAUUUGGCACCAGGGCUCUUCCUGCACCUUAUGGCAGUGUCUGAUUGGCUGAUCGUUAACUUGGCUCCUAGACAGACAGUGGAACUGUCCUCUGGCUAUUCCACAUGGUAUAAAUGUCAUAGGAUUGGCUCCCUCAGGAAGCGAGCUUGUUCCUAGCAGUACUAAAGGAAACUCCAACACACUGGAGCACUUGCAUGGGUUACAGUGGAGUCUGGCCUGGGGAGCUGAGCACAUCACUCCGUCAGAACUAAAGGAUGAUGUGCAGAACUGGCACCCUGUGGCAUUGGUGUGUUUCCAAGAUAAGGUGCCAGCUAAAUGGUACUUUCAGGCUGAGUAGCUAAUACCUUUCUAACAUUUAAGUACAGGGCCUCUCACUUCCUUGGAUCAUACCACGUUCACAUUAGCUAACAUUUGAUUGUUAUGUAUCUCCUAAGGGUUUUGUGUUCUCUGAAGGACUCUAUAAUAAUGUAUUAAAAAAAAAAAUAGUCUUUGAUUGCCUCAAGACAGGCAAACACCUUGUUGUUGACAUUGUGAAUCUCUUCAAAAACCACAGCAUGUUUUAAAUAGUUUUAAAGUGUCCAUUUUUGUUCUCAUUCAGAGACAGCUAGAUUUAGUAUCACUCCAGGAUGUUAUUAUUUUAUCUAAGGAGAAAACAAUAAAGGACUAAC